ACGCUGGCGGCGUGCUUAAUACAUGCAAGUCAACUGAACUUUAGGUAGCAAUAUUUAAAGGGAGUGGCGCACGGGUGAGUAACACGUAGGUAAUCUGCCUUCAGGACUGACAUAACUCCGCGAAAGCGGGACUAAAAUCAGAUGAUGCAGCGGCUCGACAUCGAGACAGUUGUUAAACCUUCGGGGCCUGAAGAUGAGCCUGCGUCUGAUUAGGUAGUUGGAGGGGUAAUGGCCCACCAAGCCUGCGAUCAGUAGCUGGUCUGAGAGGAUGAUCAGCCACACUGGAACUGAGACACGGUCCAGACUCCUACGGGAGGCAGCAGUAAGGAAUAUUGCUCAAUGGCCGAAAGGCUGAAGCAGCAACGCCGCGUGGAGGAUGAAAUACUUUAGUAUGUAAACUCCUGUAAGAGGGGAAAAAUAUACAGUUCUGCUGUAUUGAUUGUACCCUCAGAGUAAGCACCGGCUAACUACGUG
This 474-nucleotide ribosomal RNA is filed under the name uncultured bacterium. RNAcentral describes it as "bacterial SSU rRNA". It matches the Rfam family "Bacterial small subunit ribosomal RNA", at positions 33 to 507 of the family's 1533-position model. The record is from RNAcentral.